RNAcentral lists this unclassified non-coding RNA (2938 nucleotides) under Leishmania donovani. Its description in RNAcentral is "gene:LdHU3.34.4290(CDS-product:hypothetical_prote in)". The record is from RNAcentral. Lineage: Eukaryota; Euglenozoa; Kinetoplastea; Trypanosomatida; Trypanosomatidae.
CACUUCGUCAUGGUAGCAGCGUCCUGACGAAGAGAGACACUCACCGACACAUAUAUACAGACAGGGGCACGAAAGCCUUCACGAACGAGGCUCUUCUGCCGCCGCUUGUACGCUCGAAUUUCCCCUCGCGCGUGCAAAAGCCUUCUGCGGUGGCUUCUGCCCCCCCCCUCCACACACACACACACACAUACCGACUCCUGUCAAGGGCUUUGAUAUAUUCGACGUGAAACUCACCCCGAGGCACGUGCUUCUCCACAGCAACGCCCAUACGCGUGCAUGCGCCAUAGCAGAAUCGAGCGGAACACGGCAACACAACACAAGAGCGGGGUUAGGAAUGAGACCAGGAGCCGCCGUGUAACCAAGAAGAAAGGCACAGGCACCUGUUGCCAUUCUAUCUUGUUUUUCAUUUUCCUUGAAAGAGGCUUGGCCGUGCGCACGCACGGACGGACCAUACGACGGCCAGCAUAACACCACUCUUGCCACUGUACCAGCGCUGGGUUGUGCUGCCGAGCUAUUCUUUCUCGGUCUUUGUCUUUUGUAGAGGUGUGCCUUCGGGUCGCCUUCAGGGCGCUUCUUCCUUUUGGCUUUCACGGACGCUGCCGAGGCGACUCACGCAGCUCCGCGGUUCACGUUUCUUUUUCGGUGUUGCUUGCUGCGUCGCCAUCGUGGUCUGUCUUUGCGGCUGCUCGCGUUCCUCGUCCUCCGGAUGUCUUUUUUCCCCUUUUCCGUCUCUUCUUAUGUGCACCGAUGACGGCGGACACGCCCAUGUGCGUGGUAUCCCAGACUGCAGUGCAGCCCCCCCUCCCCUCCCCCCACACCACCAGCUCUCUCCGCGUGGGGAGAAGCCGAGCGGCACCCCUCCCCUCUCCUCUAUCGGCCUGCCCAUGCCGAACCGCUUGUGGCGCUGACAGGGUCAGGGCGAUGUAUCGCUACCCCUGCCAGCGGCCAGGUGCUGGAUCGGCGUGGCAUCGCUGCGGCCUGCGACAGUGCACCGGUCUGACCCGUCCAUAUGAUGGGGGAAGUGCCAGCGCAAUGCGAAGAUGUCUCACCCGGGCCUCACUGCCGACUGGUGUGGGGAGCCGGAGCCCCCUCCCGAGGGGGCCGCACCAGGGGUGGCGGCCUGCAUGGUGGGAGGAGCUGCUGUGAGGCGGCCUGUGAGGCGGGGUGGGUGGGUGGCGUUUGAGGGCAGGGGCCGUGCUCUCAGAUGGCUGAGUCGGCACCUCGCUGCAAGGUGCGUGUGCCUAGGGCCGCCUCGCCACAAGCGCUGACUACAUGGCCCCGCCAACGGCGUAGGUGCGGCAGUGCACCGGGCGGUGCCUCGGCGCUCUUUGUGUGGAGCUGCAAGGGCCGCGUGGCGCAUCGGCGCACCUACCCGGGGGCGUUUUGUCGUGAGGACGCUCUGCGUGAGGGUGCCUCCAGCAGGCGCGACCACCAUCGACGUCGCUGCGUGCGGCAGCGACGCCAGCAACGACGACGAUGCUGCAAUUGUCAACCGUGGACGCGGCGCAUUGCCUGUGGAAGGACGUUCGCCGGGAUGGCGCAGGGGCGCUGGAUUUGGCCGGUGCUUCACCGGCUAGGCGCAGCACACCGUCGCAUUGUGGGCCUCACGGCGUUGUCUGCGCGCUGUAGGAGGUCGCUGUGCUGCGCCGCAGUCGGCGAGGGAGGAGUCGGUCGGCGUCGUCGUGGACGUCGGCGGCAGGGAGGACGCGCUGCGCGGCUUCAUCAAGGCACUUGGUGUGCCGGCUGUCGAGGCCUGCGGCAACCUGCUCGGCGUCAUGUCGGCAUCAUGCUGCACGGCCGCGUGCGGCGGACAUCCUGACGCGUGUGUUGAACGGUGGCUGACGCUGGCGUGCGGUCGCCGCAUAUGCCACAUCGUGGCGGUGCUGCCGCCGGAGUCGCUGACCGUGGCGAGCACGCUACUGCCACUGCUGGACCUGUCGAGGGACCCCCAUUGCAGCCGCUGUCGCCGGCGUGCGAGCACAUCCGUCGUUGCCUCGACGCUCUCGGGACAGAGGUGUGUCUGGAUACCGACGAGAUCAUUGCAUCCAAGAGCAGCGACGUGGAUGAGCUGCUUGCCGCCUCUGAUGAGCGCCGUGUGUCACCGACGGUGUACAUGAACCGUAAGCGUGUCAGGGCGAUUCGCCAGCUGCAGACGGCAUGGGGCGAGGAAGGAUAGCUCAAGACACCUGUGAAGCUUGUCGCGCCGUUGACGCAUGAUGAAUGCCAGCUCGAUGACCACCAUCACAGGAGCCUCGCCCAUACACCACCGAGCGAUGGGAUUUUCUGCAAUUCUGCGCGGGGCGUUGGUUGCAUGGACAACGUGCAGCACACCUCCGCCUCCGGCUUGCGUUGGGACGGGCCGACAUAGCGCGAACGCGAGGGCGGAGGCAGACACCUGUGCAUGUGCCCUCUCUCGAGAGAGAAACGCCUACCGGCACGCGACUCUCUGUUCAUUUCCAUGGACUUCGUGCUCUGUUGACUGUUGCUGACGUGCCACUGAAGGGGGUAGGGGAAGCAUAAAAAAUGUGAUGUAAGCCUCGUUAGCGCCUCUCGGAACAUCAGGGUGAAUCAGGCUAUCCGCGUCGACUGCAGGCAGCGAGCUGGCGGACGUCUGGGAGGUAUAGCCGCUGUGCUGGAAGCUAUGGGCGUGAUCCAGGCCGAGCGCAGCAUCAGCAGUGGUGUUUCACCUGCCAUUCACCGUACAUGUGACGCGUGACGUUGACAUCCUUUCUUGUGUGUGUGUGUGUGCUUCCUCGCUACCCCCUUGGCCUUCCCGCCGUCCCGCCGUCUCCACUUCUCUUGUCGGGCGCCGAUGUUUUCGCGCUGUUUUUCCUAACGGUGUUUCCUCCUCUCCUGCCCUGCCCUGUCGCCUCUAUCCUUUGAAAACGUAUGUGGGGCUUAUGCGAGCGUGCACCCGCCUACCCCCUCCUCCUCACAG